GGCCAGACUCCUACGGGAGGCAGCAGUGGGGAAUAUUGGGCAAUGGGCGCAAGCCUGACCCAGCAACGCCGCGUGAAGGAAGAAGGCUUUCGGGUUGUAAACUUCUUUUCUCAGGGACGAAGCAAGUGACGGUACCUGAGGAAUAAGCCACGGCUAACUACGUGCCAGCAGCCGCGGUAAUACGUAGGGAGCGAGCGUUGUCCGGAAUUACUGGGCGUAAAGGGCGCGUAGGCGGGAACUUAAGUUAGAUGUGAAAACUCCGGGCUUAACCUGGAGACUGCAUUUAAAACUGGGUUUCUUGAGGGCAGGAGAGGAAAGUGGAAUUCCUAGUGUAGCGGUGAAAUGCGUAGAUAUUAGGAGGAACACCAGUGGCGAAGGCGGUCUGCUGGACAGCAACUGACGCUGAGGCGCGAAAGCGUGGGGAGCAAACAGGAUUAGAUACCCUCGUAC
This 450-nucleotide ribosomal RNA is filed under the name uncultured bacterium. RNAcentral's name for it is "bacterial SSU rRNA". It matches the Rfam family "Bacterial small subunit ribosomal RNA", at positions 329 to 793 of the family's 1533-position model. The record is from RNAcentral.